GUCACAAGACAAUCGCCUGGUGCCACAUGCGUGGCCGAACAGGGAAUGCGGUGAAACUCCGCGGCUGCCCCCGCAACUGUAAGCGGCGAGCGGGUCCGAUUUGCCACUGGGGUAUCCCCGGGAAGGCCGGUGCCCCGCCCCGACCCGCAAAGCCAGGAGACCUGCCAGUCGGAUCACCCACUU
This 183-nucleotide non-coding RNA is filed under the name Ketogulonicigenium vulgare. RNAcentral also lists the same sequence under 1 other name. Lineage: Bacteria; Pseudomonadati; Pseudomonadota; Alphaproteobacteria; Rhodobacterales; Roseobacteraceae. The record is from RNAcentral.